GACCUGGCUGGGUGGUCUUGCUGAAAGGUAAGCACUGCUCUGGUCGGGUCUUUCCUUCUGGAGAACCAGUGUGCUCUUGAUUGGGUGCGCUGGGGAUCCAGGACUUUUACUUUGAAAAAAUUAGAGUGUUUAAAGCAGGCUCACGCUUGAAUACAUUAGCAUGGAAUAAUAGAAUAGGAC
Molecule: ribosomal RNA, 180 nt
Filed under: uncultured Glomeromycotina
Lineage: Eukaryota; Fungi; Glomeromycota
Description: partial small subunit ribosomal RNA
Rfam family: Eukaryotic small subunit ribosomal RNA (bases 91-180)
Source: RNAcentral